UCCUUAGUGGUGUAACGGCUAACAUCGCUGUCUUUCAAUUCCCGCGUGUUCCGUGGUUCAAUUGUGCACAGCAGCUCGGGGUUCGAUUCCCCGCUAAGGAG
Molecule: non-coding RNA, 101 nt
Organism: Ascosphaera acerosa
Lineage: Eukaryota; Fungi; Ascomycota; Eurotiomycetes; Onygenales; Ascosphaeraceae
Source: the annotation of a GenBank genome assembly